AGUCGAACGAAUCCCUUCGGGGAUUAGUGGCGGACGGGUGAGUAGCGCGUGAGAAUCUGCCUUCAGGUUCGGGACAACCACUGGAAACGGUGGCUAAUACCGAAUGUGCCGCAACGUGAAAGAUUUAUCGCCUGAAGAUGAGCUCGCGUCCGAUUAGCUAGUUGGUGAGGUAAAAGCUCACCAAGGCGACGAUCGGUAGCUGGUCUGAGAGGAUGACCAGCCACACUGGGACUGAGACACGGCCCAGACUCCUACGGGAGGCAGCAGUGGGGAAUUUUCCGCAAUGGGCGCAAGCCUGACGGAGCAAGACCGCGUGAGGGAGGAAGGCUCUUGGGUUGUAAACCUCUUUUCUCAGGGAAGAAGAAAGUGACGGUACCUGAGGAAUCAGCCUCGGCUAACUCCGUGCCAGCAGCCGCGGUAAUACGGAGGAGGCAAGCGUUAUCCGGAAUUAUUGGGCGUAAAGCGUCCGUAGGUGGUUAUGUAAGUCUGCUGUCAAAGCACAGGGCUUAACCCUGUAAAGGCAGUGGAAACUACAAGACUCGAGUGCGGUAGGGGCAGAGGGAAUUCCCAGUGUAGCGGUGAAAUGCGUAGAGAUCAGGUGGAACACCGAUGGCGAAGGCAGCAUCCUGGCCGGAGACUGACGCUGAGGCGCGA
Molecule: ribosomal RNA, 654 nt
Filed under: uncultured cyanobacterium
Lineage: Bacteria; Bacillati; Cyanobacteriota
Description: bacterial SSU rRNA
Rfam family: Bacterial small subunit ribosomal RNA
Source: RNAcentral